This 465-nucleotide ribosomal RNA is filed under the name uncultured bacterium. RNAcentral's name for it is "partial 16S ribosomal RNA". It matches the Rfam family "Bacterial small subunit ribosomal RNA", at positions 330 to 792 of the family's 1533-position model. The record is from RNAcentral.
GCCAGACUCCUACGGGAGGCAGCAGUGAGGAAUAUUGGUCAAUGGACGAGAGUCUGAACCAGCCAAGUAGCGUGAAGGAUGACUGCCCUAUGGGUUGUAAACUUCUUUUAUAAAGGAAUAAAACGAGGCACGUGUGCCUUUUUGCAUGUACUUUAUGAAUAAGGAUCGGCUAACUCCGUGCCAGCAGCCGCGGUAAUACGGAGGAUCCGAGCGUUAUCCGGAUUUAUUGGGUUUAAAGGGAGCGUAGAUGGGUUGUUAAGUCAGUUGUGAAAGUUUGCGGCUCAACCGUAAAAUUGCAAUUGAUACUGGCAGUCUUGAGUACAGUUGAGGUAGGCGGAAUUCGUGGUGUAGCGGUGAAAUGCAUAGAUAUCACGCAGAACUCCGAUUGCGAAGGCAGCUUACUAAGCCAUAACUGACACUGAAGCACGAAAGCGUGGGGAUCAAACAGGAUUAGAUACCCCCGUA